UGUUACCCCAUGCCCUGGGUGUCUGGGAUGGCUCCUCCAAGGAGGGCAUGAGCAGAAGCUUUCCAGAGGCUGGAGCAGACAGAAGGUCCUAAUCUGGCUGGUGAAGGGUUUGUGCUCUGGGGCUCUGCAGGAACUUGCUCAGGACCAACUGUAAACAGGACCUGUGUGCACAAUGAAAACAAACAAGCCGGGCUGGAAAAUAUCAUGAGUCAAUGAGGCUCCUUGGGUGCCUCCGCCUUCCCUAACCCCGAGUCAGCAAAUGCUCCAGCGCUUGGCACAUCCAGGGAGAGCCCGGGGCAGCUCCAGCCUCCCUCUCCUGCUUCAUUAAAGCACCACCAGUGCAAUGUUUGAGCACUGGGCCAUCAGCACUGAAAAAUCCUGGAGGUUCCCAAUUUAGGAUUUUUCAGGGAAUAUCCACCACGACCAGGGGCAGAAACAAUAAAAUUCCAUGAGAAGAGACAAUUCCCAGAGCUUUCUGAGCCAAUAUUCUACACCUCAGAGGUUGGGAUCACUCAAAUAAAGAUCAGGACGAUAUCAGAACUUUCAGUUCUUUAUCCAAACAGCCAAGACUUUUCCAGCUGCCCCAUCACAGCUCCAUAAUCACUCGAGUUCUCUCAGUGAUGCUCAUUCCUAUUUCACAGGCUAUAAUAAACACAGCAAAAAUUUGAUGAGGUCCCA
This 678-nucleotide long non-coding RNA is filed under the name Junco hyemalis (dark-eyed junco). RNAcentral describes it as "lncRNA (ENSJHYG00000013048.1)". The record is from RNAcentral. Lineage: Eukaryota; Metazoa; Chordata; Aves; Passeriformes; Passerellidae.